Molecule: non-coding RNA, 79 nt
Organism: Podarcis lilfordi (Lilford's wall lizard)
Lineage: Eukaryota; Metazoa; Chordata; Lepidosauria; Squamata; Lacertidae
Source: the annotation of a GenBank genome assembly
AAAGGCAUGAGCUGUAGCUCAGUAGUAAAACAUCUGCAUUGCAUGCAGAAGGUCCUAGGUUCAAUCCUUGGUGUUUUUG